GAUGAACGCUGGCGGCGUGCCUAAUACAUGCGAGUCGAGCGAACAGAUGAGGAGCUUGCUCCUCUGACGUUAGCGGCGGACGGGUGAGUAACACGUGGAUAACCUACCUAUAAGACUGGGAUAACUUCGGGAAACCGGAGCUAAUACCGGAUAAUAUAUUGAACCGCAUGGUUCAAUAGUGAAAGACGGUUUUGCUGUCACUUAUAGAUGGAUCCGCGCCGCAUUAGCUAGUUGGUAAGGUAACGGCUUACCAAGGCAACGAUGCGUAGCCGACCUGAGAGGUUGAUCGGCCACACUGGAACUGAGACACGGGCCAGACUCCUACGGGAGGCAGCAGUAGGGAAUCUUCCGCAAUGGGCGAAAGCCUGACGGAGCAACGCCGCGGGAGUGAUGAAGGUCUUCGGAUCGUAAAACUCUGUUAUUAGGGAAGAACAAAUGUGUAAGUAACUAUGCACGUCUUGACGGUACCUAAUCAGAAAGCCACGGCUAACUACGU
Molecule: ribosomal RNA, 496 nt
Filed under: uncultured bacterium
Lineage: Bacteria
Description: partial 16S ribosomal RNA
Rfam family: Bacterial small subunit ribosomal RNA
Source: RNAcentral